UCCGGUUUGUCACCGGCAGUCUCCUUAGAGUUCCCGACAUUACUCGCUGGCAACUAAGGACAAGGGUUGCGCUCGUUACGGGACUUAACCCAACAUCUCACGACACGAGCUGACGACAGCCAUGCAGCACCUGUCUCUCGGUUCCCGAAGGCACCAAUCCAUCUCUGGAAAGUUCCGAGGAUGUCAAGGCCAGGUAAGGUUCUUCGCGUUGCAUCGAAUUAAACCACAUGCUCCACCGCUUGUGCGGGCCCCCGUCAAUUCAUUUGAGUUAUAGCCUUGCGGCCGUACUCCCCAGGCGGUCGACUUAUCGCGCUAACUGCGCCACUAAACUCUUUAAUGAGCCCAACGGCUGGUCGACAUCGUUUAGGGCGUGGACUAC
Molecule: unclassified non-coding RNA, 379 nt
Filed under: uncultured Gammaproteobacteria bacterium
Lineage: Bacteria; Pseudomonadati; Pseudomonadota; Gammaproteobacteria
Description: contains 16S-23S intergenic spacer region
Source: RNAcentral